UGGGGAAUAUUGGACAAUGGGGGGAACCCUGAUCCAGCCAUGCCGCGUGUGUGAAGAAGGCCUUAUGGUUGUAAAGCACUUUAAGCGAGGAGGAGGGUACUGGUAUUAAUACUACCAGCUACUGGACGUUACUCGCAGAAUAAGCACCGGCUAACUCUGUGCCAGCAGCCGCGGUAAUACAGAGGGUGCAAGCGUUAAUCGGAAUUACUGGGCGUAAAGCGCGCGUAGGUGGUUCGUUAAGUUGAAUGUGAAAGCCCCGGGCUCAACCUGGGAACUGCAUCCAAAACUGGCGAGCUAGAGUAGGGCAGAGGGUGGUGGAAUUUCCUGUGUAUCGGUGAAAUGCGUAGAUAUAGAUGGGAAAACCAGUGGCGAAGGCGACCACCUGGGCUCAUACUGACACUGAGGUGCGAAAGCGUGGGGAGCAAACAGG
Molecule: ribosomal RNA, 430 nt
Filed under: Pseudomonadota bacterium
Lineage: Bacteria; Pseudomonadati; Pseudomonadota
Description: Proteobacteria bacterium partial 16S ribosomal RNA
Rfam family: Bacterial small subunit ribosomal RNA
Source: RNAcentral